AAGUCGUAACAAGGUUUCCGUAGGUGAACCUGCGGAAGGAUCAUUAACACGCGUUGUAGUUCAUUCUACAUACACGUAUUUUAUCAAAAAAUAAAAGCCAAACGGUAAUUUGUUAUAAAGCCUGCUCCUGUUGUUGCGCUAGGUGUGAGGGAAUGGGUGUGAUGUAAUAGUCUCUCCUCAGAGCUUUCGGCGUAGAAAAAACGCGGCUCACCUCGGGAGUUCAGUUGAUGACGGUCGUAGAGUGUGUGGAGUCUGCACCAUGACUUGCAUCCUCGGCAAUUACUCCGAACUUUUUAUUUAUACUUAUUCUGAUUUUGUACGUUUGUUUAUGAAUUCCUGACCUUAACACCGUCGGUUGUAGUUUGCAUUCAAAUGUCGCACAUAUUAUUAAUACGAAACAACUCUUAGCAACGGAUAUCUUGGUUCUC
This 428-nucleotide unclassified non-coding RNA is filed under the name fungal sp. RNAcentral describes it as "partial internal transcribed spacer region". The stretch from base 1 to 46 matches the Rfam family "Eukaryotic small subunit ribosomal RNA", at positions 1786 to 1831 of the family's 1831-position model. Lineage: Eukaryota; Fungi. The record is from RNAcentral.